UCAAAAACAUGGUUUCCUGUUUAUAUAGGAGAUUUGACCUGCCCACUGAUUUAUUUUUAAGGGCCGCAGUAUUUUGACUGUGCAAAGGUAGCAUAAUCAUUAGUCUUUUAAUUGAGGGCUGGAAUGAAUGGUUGGACGAAAUAAAUUCUGUUUCAUUAAAAUUUUAUUGAAUUUAGAUUUUAAGUAAAAAUUCUUAAAUGUUAUUAAGGGACGAGAAGACCCUAUAGAGUUUAAUAUAUUGAUUUUAAAUUAAGUUUUUAUUUAAUUUAUGAUUUUUUUUUUGAUGUAUUUAAUUGGGGUGAUUAGAAGAUAUUUUUAACUCUUUUUAAUUUUUAAUAAUUAUUUUUAGUUAUUUGAUCCAUAAAUUUUUGAUUUUAAGAUUAAAUUACCUUAGGGAUAACAGCAUAAUUUUUUUUGAGAGUUCUUAUUGAAAAAAAAGAUUGUGACCUCGAUGUUGGAUUAAGAUAAAUAAUGGGUGUAGAUGUUCAUUAAUUAGGUCUGUUCGACCUUUAAAAUCUUACAUGAUCUGAGUUC
This 534-nucleotide ribosomal RNA is filed under the name Ligariella gracilis. Its description in RNAcentral is "partial 16S ribosomal RNA". It matches the Rfam family "Bacterial large subunit ribosomal RNA", at positions 1807 to 2612 of the family's 2925-position model. The record is from RNAcentral. Lineage: Eukaryota; Metazoa; Arthropoda; Insecta; Mantodea; Chroicopteridae.